Molecule: ribosomal RNA, 497 nt
Filed under: uncultured bacterium
Lineage: Bacteria
Description: partial 16S ribosomal RNA
Rfam family: Bacterial small subunit ribosomal RNA
Source: RNAcentral
GAUGAACGCUGGCGGCGUGCCUAAUACAUGCAAGUCGAGCGAACAGAUGAGGAGCUUGCUCCUCUGACGUUAGCGGCGGACGGGUGAGUAACACGUGUAUAACCUACCUAUAAGACUGGGAUAACUUCGGGAAACCGGAGCUAAUCCCGGAUAAUAUAUUGAACCGCAUGGUUCAAUAGUGAAAGACGGUUUUGCUGUCACUUAUAGAUGGAUCCGCGCCGCAUUAGCUAGUUGGUAAGGUAACGGCUUACCAAGGCAACGAUGCGUAGCCGACCUGAGAGGGUGAUAGGCCACCCGGGAACUGGGACAGCGUCCAGACUCCUACGGGAGGCAGCAGUAGGGAAUCUUACGCAAUGGGCGAAAGCCUGACGGAGCAACGCCGCGUGAGUGAUGAAGGUCUUCGGAUCGUAAAACUCUGUUAUUAGGGAAGAACAAAUGUGUAAGUAACUAUGCACGUCUUGACGGUAACUAAUCAGAAAGCCACGGCUAACUACGUG